Molecule: long non-coding RNA, 654 nt
Organism: Camelus dromedarius (Arabian camel)
Lineage: Eukaryota; Metazoa; Chordata; Mammalia; Artiodactyla; Camelidae
Exons: 4
Source: RefSeq, a predicted model, not a curated record
UAAAACAGUAAAGAAUAAUUCUAUGUUCCCCUGGACUUUGAAGAGGGCACAAGCAUCUCUAUCUGCUGGCUGUCAUGACUGCUCAGCCCCUAUUUCCUACUCAUUUUUCACAUCAUCUCACCUCGAAUUUCUCACAUUUCCCACUUAGCCGGACAUCUUGCUGCUCAGUGGCUUCAUACCUCUCACAGCUUGAGUCCGUGAUGGCCGUCCGGGGCUGGCAGGCUGACACACGAGUGCCAGAUACUUCCCUACUGCUCUGGAGGCCAGUCCGCUGGAGGUGGAAUCCACUUGUUUGUCAUGAUAAACAUAUUUAUGGCAGAAACCUAUAUUUCAUCUUUGACUCUCGAACAGCCAGGCACUGAACUUGACGGACAGUAAGGGCUACAAGAUGUGUGUUGAAUGGAUUCAUGAAUGAGGCCAAAAUCAAGAACACUCCAGACAAGGCCUGGUUGACCCUCCUGUGCUGUUCCUUGGAUUUAUGUCACUGCAUGUCAACAUCCUGGACUUGGGCUGAGAGUCUCUGGGUGACUUCAGCUCUUGUUUGAUUAUUCAGACCACCGGGCCGUGUGCCAGGAGCUCACGACAGCCAGCUUCUGCUGUUGAAGAGGAACCUUGGCGAACCCCAGAACACCCAAAGCCUUCUAGAUGGGACAG